UUAUAAGUCAUUUCACUUUUGUUUAGUUAAAUAUUUUAAAGUUUGACCAAGUUUCUAACAAAAUAUAGUAACAUUUUCAAUACAUGAUAAAUUUUGUAUUAAGAUAUAUUCGAUGUUAAAUUUAAUGAGACUAAUAUGGUGUUGUAGGUAUUGCUAAUUUUUUUCCAUAAACUUGAUCAAACCUAUUGCACUUUGACUUUGACUGAUAAAGAAGUCAAAAGACUUAUAAUUAUCGGGAUUCCGUUCUGAAUCCGGGGCAGCAACAAUUGCAAUUCUUAUCGGCAUCGGUAGGGUGUAUUGUGUAACAACCUAGACCUAGGCCGAUACGCGCGUUUUGCAUGCAGCCGCAGUCCAGCGCCGUCAUUGCUGCCGCCAUGGACGACGGCGGUGGCCACCGCCGCCGCCGCGUCAUCGAGCCAAGAGACUGUCGGAGCCGCACGCUUGCUUCGACGACGCAGGACAAGCACCGGUCGCUGCUCCUUGACAAGGUCCGUGCCUCCCACGAGGAGGCGCUGGAGCGGCUGCGGCCGGCGGCCGUGGCGGCGGACCUCGACGCCGGCCUCUGCUUCGGCUUGCUGGAUCCCGUCUCCAAUGUCAUCGUCAACGCCGUCCUCACCGCCGCCCCGAGAAACCGGAAGAUGAGAAGGGCGCGGCGGAGGACGCGCAGACGCAGGAGAUCGAGACGCCGGCGAUCUCUCGACGGAUCGGUGACCUUCCUGACCAGCUUCUUCCCUUACCUCCCCGAAUGGGAGGCCGUGUACUACCUGCUCCUCGCCGACGCCGACGUGCUCGUCGCGGCGCGCCUCGUCGUGCAGGCCCGUGGCCUGAGAAGAUUCGGGUUCACCUCGGGCACCACCGCCGCCGCCGUCAGGUUGGCCCUCAGAUGCGCCGCGCUGGCCGUGAAGCAUCCGCAUCCCGACCGGCUCGUCCACGCGUGGAUGUCCCUGUCUCGCCGCCUCGACGAGGCCGUGUCCGCGCUCGCCAACCGCGACGUGCGCGGCCUCGUCGCGCUGGUCGGCGACGAGGCGCCCGCGCCGGCGGCCGACAUGGAGAGAGCGUGGGAGCUGGCAGAGUCUCGCUUGCGCGGCCGGGGCAUCGCCGCGCGGCAUUACUGGCACGCCAUGCCUCUCCAGAUGGCGCUCCUCCACGCGAUCCAGGGGUUCUACCUCCGGGCGCUCGCCCGGCUGCCCUCCGGCGAGCUGCGGUCUCGCUACCACCGGAGCUUGGUGCUGGCCGGCCAUUGCUACGGCCCCAUGGACCCCGUCUCCAACAUCAUCCUCAACGUCGUCUGGUACGACGCCGCGCACCCGCCGGCGGAGGAGCUCGAGCUGGCCAUGAUCCCGCCCAUGAGCAUGUUCCGCGUCGCCACGCGUUCGUUCCUCGGCCUCGUCUCCUUCCUCUGCACCCGCUACCCCGACCUCCCGCUCCAUGACGCCAUUUGGUGUUUGCUUGCCGCGGACGGCGACCUUGGCGCCGCCGCAAGAGAAGCCGAGCGGCGGCAGCACCGUCCCUCCUGCACUGUCCAGGAGGCCUACGCCGCCGCCGCUGCCGCGGCCCGGCACCCCAAACCGGACGAACAAGUGGAGCUCCUCAGCUCGAGCAGGGCCAUCACGACGACGACGACGACGUCGCUGCUCCUGCAGAACGGCGGCCAGCUCUCCUCGGAAGACGUUCGCCGCCUCGCCGCCGGCUUACUGUCCCCGAAUCCCUCCGCCGCCGUCUCACCAACGCAGCGCAAACCAACGAAACCACGGCAGCGCGGGAAGCUGAAACUGCAGUCGCAGUUCAUCCGUGAUCAGAACAAAAUCUGCAAGAAGGGGAAGGCUGCAUUGCACAGAUACUCGCUGCAAAACAACGAACCCGGUGGAUACGAGCUCCAUGUCAUCUGUGGCAUGAACAAUCUCGUAUCAGGACCCGUGUAUUGCACUGACGAUGACAUCGUCAGUUAUACACCUCUCAUAUACUUUCGUUGUCAUGUCAACUUCUUGGCUCGCCGGAGACACUCUGAUCCAUCUGCCAUUGCCGGCGAUGGAGCUCUUCAACUCUUCUUUGCAGAAUGCGGUAACUAUCGCCUCAACCAUGACGGCAUUUGCUGCCCUGUAACCAUAUCGCUACCAUGCUCAGAACAAGUGCGUUGCCUUUACUGCGAGCAUCAAGGGAUUAGGAUUGUGCAUCCAUCGGUGGAGAAUUUCCAUGGGCGUGAGGUGGAAUUUGAGAAGAUGGUAUGUGGAAAAGAUCCCUGUGAAGACGAUUUUGAUCUUUUAGUUGAUGAAGAACCGUUUUACACCAACGAUGGUAUCGUCAACAACCUCGAGUAUGCAGGUGCUAUGGAUGGUUCGAAGAGGACUUCAUUUAUCGAGAUAGCGAUGAAGGCACCGACGAGGAAGAAGGAAACUCUGAUGAUGAUAUCGAUUUUGUGUGAGGUUUACAUGACUGUAUAUUUUGAUUGAUGGAGCUGUGUACAUGUUCAAUGUUCAUGUUCAGCCCUUAUACCGGCAUGUUUAGGGAGAGUUUAGUUCCACUGGGCCAAAGUUUUCCGAACCGUAGGCGAACUACUCCUACCUAUUUUUUGGAAUUUUGUUUUAUUUUCUUGAUUGACUAUUUGACGUAGGAUAUUCCAGUUCAAGAAGGGUCUAAGCAAGAGAUGGCAAUGGUUCCCCGUCCUCCGAUUCCCUGCGGUGAAUCCUCCCAUUAGAAGGUGGGGGUGGUAUAAAAUAUGUCUCCACAGAGGAUUAAAUAGAGUAAAAACACCUUCCAUCGGGUCUGGCAGGGGCAGGUUUGUUUCAGCGUCCCUCGUCCCCGCUCUCCGUGGAGGCCCGACAUAAUAGUGUAUGUGUAGUAUUAUCAUGUAUAUUUGGCCCAUCUGGCCCAUAGAAACCAGGCCCAACACCUAGAGCAUAUAAAGCAUCUGCAAAACCCUAGCCAUUCCAAUCCUUUCUCCCUUCUGUGUUCCAUCCCUAGUCCCCACGCCGGCGCCGACUCCCGAUCUCGCAAGGCCACCGUGCGUCUGCCGCGUCGGCACCCGUGCAGGGUUGCCGACUCGCCACGCCCUCGCCCGCGCAGGGCCGCCGGCUCGCCGCGCCCGCGCUGUCACGUCCCGGCGCGCCCGCACCGUCAGGUCCCGUUGCGCACGCGCAGGGCCGUUGGCUCGCCGUGCCGCCACGUCCCGGUGCCGCCCCACCAGGUCAAAGGGGAAAACGACGACCAAUCGCUAGAUGCGGCCAUGGCUUCGUCUUCACCACUCGCGGGGAUGGAGGCUCCACGGAGAUAAAUUACCUGCACGGAGGUGGUGAUGGUGAAAGAUCUUGCCCCGUUUGCAUUUCACGGUGAUGGUGAUGGAGAAAAUUCUUCUCCGUGGAGGCAGGUCUGGUGGUGUAACCUCCGACUAGGAAUUCCCCGUUGCCAUCUCCUCCGUGGAGGCGGGUCUGGUGGUGUAAAUCUCCAGCCAGGAAUUCCCGUUGCUAUCUCUAGUCUGAACAUAUUAAGAAAUAGAACAGACUCCCUCGGUCCCAUAAACCACGAAUCUAGAAUUAGAUACGAAUCUAGAAUUAGAUAUGACAUAUUAUAGUACAGUCUGUUUAGAUUCGUAGUAUUAGGAUGUGUCUCGCAUCAGUUCUAUCUUGUUUUUUUUUAUGUGACAGGGAGUAUGAACUGUAAGAGAAUCAAUCCUUUUCGUGUCAAAACCUGUAAGCCAGU
Molecule: non-coding RNA, 3696 nt
Organism: Oryza sativa Japonica Group (Japanese rice)
Lineage: Eukaryota; Viridiplantae; Streptophyta; Magnoliopsida; Poales; Poaceae
Source: RefSeq, a predicted model, not a curated record